GCGUGCCUAACACAUGCAAGUGGAGCGACGAACCGGGCUUCGGCCCGGGGCAAAGCCGCGAACGGGUGAGUAACACGUGGGUAACCUGCCCUGAUGAUCGGGACAACUCGAGGAAACUCGGGCUAAUACCGAAUGUGCCCCCUGGCCGUAAGGCCUCUGGGGAAAGGAAGCUUCGGCCUCCGCAUCGGGAUGGGCCCGCGGCCCAUUAGCUUGUUGGUGAGGUAAAGGCUCACCAAGGCAACGAUGGGUAGCUGGUCUGAGAGGACGAUCAGCCACACUGGGACUGAGACACGGCCCAGACUCCUACAGGAGGCAGCAGUGGGGAAUCUUGCGCAAUGCGCGAAAGCGUGACGCAGCAACGCCGCGUGGGGGAAGAAGGCCUUCGGGUUGUAAACCCCUUUCAGUUGGGACGAAGCUUCGGCGGUGAAUAGCCGUCUGAAGUGACGGUACCUUCAGAAGAAGCCCCGGCUAACUACGUGCCAGCAGCCGCGGUAAUACGUAGGGGGCAAGCGUUGUCCGGAAUCAUUGGGCGUAAAGAGCGUGUAGGCGGCUUGGUAAGUCUGCUGUGAAAGUCCAGGGCUCAACCCUGGAAUGCCGGUGGAAACUGUCAAGCUUGAGUCCGGAAGAGGCGAGUGGAAUUCCUGGUGUAGCGGUGAAAUGCGCAGAUAUCAGGAGGAACACCAAUGGCGAAGGCAGCUCGCUGGGACGGUUACUGACGCUGAGACGCGAAAGCGUGGGGAGCAAACAGGAUUAGAUACCCUGGUAGUCCACGCCGUAAACGAUGGGCACUAGGUUGUGGGGGGGUGUCGACUCCCCUCCGUGCCGACGCUUAACGCAUUUAAGUUGCCCC
This 850-nucleotide ribosomal RNA is filed under the name uncultured bacterium. Its description in RNAcentral is "bacterial SSU rRNA". It matches the Rfam family "Bacterial small subunit ribosomal RNA", at positions 42 to 870 of the family's 1533-position model. The record is from RNAcentral.